AUGAUUCUGGAGUUCAGCCGGGAAGGACCAGCGGGAUGAAAACGCUUCUCUCCGCGUCGUCUGAGCCCUUGUGGCAUGUGGGAGGUUUUGUAAGAUAAAAACCUCUACCUUCGCCACACGUUGGGAGCCAUACGCCGCGGUCCGAAAGGGGGGAGGGGAACGGGGCCGCGACACAGCACGGGUCAGGGACACAAAGGUGGGAUGCAGGUAGAAUUGAUUUAUAGAAAU
This is a long non-coding RNA of Neopelma chrysocephalum (saffron-crested tyrant-manakin), 228 nucleotides long. RefSeq lists it as uncharacterized. NCBI's taxonomy places the organism in Eukaryota, Metazoa, Chordata, Aves, Passeriformes, Pipridae. The record is from RefSeq and is a predicted model, not a curated record. The transcript is spliced from 3 exons.